CUUCAUCUCUCAAAGACCCCUAAAACCUAGCCGCCACUACUCCCAAACCUAUCUUCCGCCGGCGGCCAACCACCAUUUGGUCUCAACUUUUCACUAGAUACUCCCCAACUCUUCCUCAAUCCAAAUCUCUUAUCCAUUUUCUUUUAAUCCGUCUUAAGCAUGACCAGUAAUAGAUCUAAAAUUUCAAAACGAGGAGCUUAAACUGACUCUUCCUUGUUUCAUUCUCAAGAGCUGACUCGUUUUGAUUCGAAACCUACACUGACAGAUUUCUCUUGAUGAGUGCAAUCGAUCGAUGUUAGUUUUGAUUCAUUCCAAAAUUAUAAGAAUACGGUCAAGUUAUCGUCGGCAGGUUUGAAGUUGACAUUCUUAUGUCCUAGCAGUCGUUUGCCUUAGUAGACUGGUUUGCAAAGCUAGCCCAAUGGCUAUUCUUUUGUAAAUCAGGGUGUGAAGGAGAAGGAAGCAUAUGGCUCAGAAAUGGCUACUCUCGUGAAGGGUUGAUGUAAUAGAAUGCCUAAGACUAUAUUUUUUUUAACUUAGUAAUUGUAUCAUUCAUGUUAGGUUUUCGCUGUAAUGUAAAAUUAUUAACUCUUUAGUUAUGUAUUCCCUGAAAAUUGGCAGAAUUAUCUAGUCAAAAUUAGAUUCAUGUUAGCAUUAAUGA
Long non-coding RNA from Nicotiana tabacum (common tobacco), 658 nucleotides. RefSeq lists it as uncharacterized. The record is from RefSeq and is a predicted model, not a curated record. Lineage: Eukaryota; Viridiplantae; Streptophyta; Magnoliopsida; Solanales; Solanaceae.